GAGUGAGUGAUGUUCCUGCUACUGCCUGGGCCACAGAGAGGAUGCAGUGACUAAUACAAGCAACAAACUAUUUCCUUUUAGCUCAAAACGGUUUCGGCUGGUAUUGUCAGAGCUGUAGGACCAACAUUCAAGCUUCGUUUCCCCAGGGACUAAAACUGAGUAAACAGAGCGAUGAAUGCUGCUGGCUGCAGGCCGUUCUGGAAGAGCCCAAUCAGAGCAGUCUAUUGGAAUCGCUCCUGCUUCAUUGCAAUGCCCCUUGUGAAGUAGAACAGAUGGGUGCCACGGGAGCAACUAAUGAAGGUUUGCUGCUCAGACAGAUGAUCAGUCAAUUCGCUGGGGAAAAUAAAAAGGGGUAUUCAAAUGGAAAA
This is a long non-coding RNA of Alligator sinensis (Chinese alligator), 368 nucleotides long. RefSeq lists it as uncharacterized. NCBI's taxonomy places the organism in Eukaryota, Metazoa, Chordata, Crocodylia, Alligatoridae. The record is from RefSeq and is a predicted model, not a curated record. The transcript has 3 exons.